UACGGAGGUGGCAAGCGUUGCUCGGAAUCACUGGGCGUAAAGGGCGCGUAGGCGGGGAGGUAAGUCGGGUGUGAAAUCCCUCGGCCCAACCGAGGAAGUGCGCCCAAAACUGCUUGGCUUGAGUACCGGAGAGGGUGGCGGAAUUCCCGGUGUAGAGGUGAAAUUCGUAGAUAUCGGGAGGAACACCAGCGGCGAAGGCGGCCACCUGGACGGAUACUGACGCUGAGACGCGGAAGCGUGGGGAGCAAACAGG
RNAcentral lists this ribosomal RNA (253 nucleotides) under uncultured bacterium. Its description in RNAcentral is "partial 16S ribosomal RNA". It matches the Rfam family "Bacterial small subunit ribosomal RNA", at positions 524 to 776 of the family's 1533-position model. The record is from RNAcentral.